Long non-coding RNA from Lycium ferocissimum, 974 nucleotides. RefSeq lists it as uncharacterized. NCBI's taxonomy places the organism in Eukaryota, Viridiplantae, Streptophyta, Magnoliopsida, Solanales, Solanaceae. The transcript is spliced from 3 exons. The record is from RefSeq and is a predicted model, not a curated record.
UUGUUUGUAACGACCCGUUUGGUCGUUUCGAGCUUUUGACUUCUUUUCCCUAAAAUACCCUUUCCGUAGUUUUAAAAGGUAUUCUUGACUUGCAUAAAUCGGUUGCACGAUGAUUUAAUUGGCGGGAAAAUUUUGAAAUAUAUUUAUUUAAUGUGUGUGAAUAGUUUAUUCAUAGGAAUAUGAGUUUCACCCAUAUAAGGUACAAGUUGGUAAAUAAAGUAUUUGAUGGAAUGACUAUAUUUUAAAGUAUAAGUUGGUGAAUAAUGUAAUUGACUAAGUGAGUCAAUUGCUAACUUAUACAGAGUGGCUGAGUAAAAAGGUUAUUUUAGAUAAUUGUUUAGUUAGUAAUUAAUGGGCUAAGUCCACAACUCUUUUAACACCAUAGGUUACACGGCCCAUAUACAAGAAUGAUUUAAGUUAAUAGGGUUGGACAUUUUUUUAGUAUUAGCAGAAAAACCUUGAGACAUCUACUCAAAACCUACGACGAAGAGGAGAAAUUGAGUGUCUCGGUAAUUUUGCUUGCCCGAUUGUGGAUAAAGAGAGGUAGAAGGUUGCUUUGUUUAUGGAAUGGAACGAGAAAGUAGAGUAAAAGUCUGCUAAUGUGAAAUUUCAGAACUACGACAAGAUCAGGAACAUUCAGAGACGCUCAGGAAAGGAAAGACGACUUUGUGAGUUCGUUGGCUUGACUUUAAGAGUACCAGUUGAGAUCGACUUCUACCCUCGUGGCUAAUAUUCGAGGAUUGCUGAUUCGAGUCCUUCAGGGUGAGCACGAGGAUGUUCGCUGCCCGAAGACUCUUUUUAUCAUUAUGUCUUUAUUCUCAUUCUGAGACAUGAUCUUUGAGGCUACUAUGUAUUAUCAUGAUUCAGACUUGUAGUAUUUAGUUAGAUGCUCUUGUAUGACCAGACCAGAUACUGGGGUGGAUUUCAUUUACUUCUACAUUUUUUUUUAUAUUAUGAUUGUGAGACUUACGCUA